UGGGUCCUACGGGAGGCAGCAGUGGGGAAUAUUGCACAAUGGGGGAAACCCUGAUGCAGCGACGCCGCGUGAGUGAAGAAGUAUUUCGGUAUGUAAAGCUCUAUCAGCAGGGAAGAAAAAAGACGGUACCUGACUAAGAAGCCCCGGCUAACUACGUGCCAGCAGCCGCGGUAAUACGUAGGGGGCAAGCGUUAUCCGGAUUUACUGGGUGUAAAGGGAGCGUAGACGGCUGUGCAAGUCUGGAGUGAAAGGCGGGGGCCCAACCCCCGGACUGCUCUG
This 279-nucleotide ribosomal RNA is filed under the name uncultured bacterium. RNAcentral's name for it is "partial 16S ribosomal RNA". It matches the Rfam family "Bacterial small subunit ribosomal RNA", at positions 333 to 628 of the family's 1533-position model. The record is from RNAcentral.